Molecule: long non-coding RNA, 918 nt
Organism: Syngnathoides biaculeatus (alligator pipefish)
Lineage: Eukaryota; Metazoa; Chordata; Actinopteri; Syngnathiformes; Syngnathidae
Exons: 4
Source: RefSeq, a predicted model, not a curated record
AAAAUAGAAAUGUCAACUAUGAUGAGUGUUUGAGGGGGAAAAAAAGUACAAAGGUAUCAAAAAAUACUGUGACACUUUUUUGGCCGAGUUUAAGAUGAGAUGUGAUAAAACGUCUACAUUGACUUUUUAAUUGCUUGUGUAAAAAUAGUUGGGGUCUUUGGAAUAUGUGCCCACCCGUCAAGUGAGAAAUUAAACAACCACAAACUGUGAGCAUGCAAGCCUGUUUCAAUUUUGAUUAAAUUCCACAACAACCUGCUCAUGAUAUGGCACCUAUGAUGGGAGAAGAUCCAAAGCCACUUUCAAGCGAUGGCGUAUAUCUGCGCACUAGUCUACGUUGUCUGAAACUCUAUCAUACACACAGACACCCACAUCCCCACAGGUGUGGAACCUCCGCUAUCAUGUCAAAGCAAAAAGGUGAAGAGUGAGCACUGGUGGCGGGGAGGAGAUCAACAUCUGCUUCGAGGCAUCUGUGUACACGUUCUUCUUGGAUCCUACCCACAGAAAUUUAAAGAGGACAUAUUAUGGGAAAUUGUCUUUUUCACAGUUGGGUCAGUGAAGCAAGCACCUGCCCGACUAACAAGUGCGGAAGUCCACAAAUUUGUCCUUGCUCGCCUGGCGUUUGGUGCAGGUGACGCAGAGCAGGCUGUUGUUCUCGCUCAGGGUCUCCUCCUCCGUAAAGUGAAAAAGACACGACUCGACGGUGCAGUCCUGCUGGUCGGGAGAAGGCCUGCGGGCCAGAGUCUGGAAGGCCAGCUCCGGGUCCCGGUUGACGAUCAUCGAAAAGUCGGCGUCGUCCAAGAAGCCAUCCGUGGAGCGCCGCGUUUCCGAGAAGGUGCCGAGGCGACUGCAGGCUGAAGGCGACUGAGAGUUGUUGACGGAGUCUCCUUUGUCGUCCUCCUUGUCGGGAACGUCGAGGGA